This 69-nucleotide transfer RNA is filed under the name Urocitellus parryii (Arctic ground squirrel). RNAcentral describes it as "Spermophilus parryii (Arctic ground squirrel) tRNA". It matches the Rfam family "tRNA". From Rfam's summary of the family: Transfer RNA (tRNA) molecules are approximately 80 nucleotides in length. Their secondary structure includes four short double-helical elements and three loops (D, anti-codon, and T loops). The record is from Rfam by way of RNAcentral. RNAcentral also lists the same sequence under 1 other name. Lineage: Eukaryota; Metazoa; Chordata; Mammalia; Rodentia; Sciuridae.
GGAGUUGUAGCUCAGCCGUAGAGCGCUUGCCUCGUACGUGUGAGGCCCUGGGUUCAAUGCCCAGCACCA